Molecule: small RNA, 156 nt
Filed under: Numida meleagris (helmeted guineafowl)
Lineage: Eukaryota; Metazoa; Chordata; Aves; Galliformes; Numididae
Description: TUC338 (ENSNMEG00000017118.1)
Source: RNAcentral
AGGAACCAGCCCCUCUGCUUAUCCACAGGCUGAACACAGCUCAGACACGCGGUGCCUGAGCUCCCUGCACCGCUGCGGCACUGAACUUAGGCUUGAACGGGAGGAACUGCCUCUCUGCAAGAUGAGAGGGGAUUCAUUUUCCAUGCUAGCUCUUUC